Molecule: long non-coding RNA, 4771 nt
Organism: Trichosurus vulpecula (common brushtail)
Lineage: Eukaryota; Metazoa; Chordata; Mammalia; Diprotodontia; Phalangeridae
Exons: 2
Source: RefSeq, a predicted model, not a curated record
CUGGCACCUGGGUCCGGGAGGGGAGGCGGGUCGGAGCCAGGAGGUGACCGCCUCCUGUGACCGCAGCUCAGCGGUGCCGGCGACUGUCCCUGGCGGGGUGAGGGGACCAUGACUCUGCUCCCGGGAGCUGCGUUCACUGCCCAGUGUGGGGAGUCCAAGUCCUGGGACGGCGAGCAUCAGGGGAUUGACAGUUGGUGAUGUUCUCCAGGCCUAGGACGCCUGGAGAACCUUUGGAAAGGCCACAUCUGUACCCCAGGUUUGAGAAGAGGCCCCAGAUUCAGCUACCCUUCCUGCAGGACAAGCUGAGCCCUGAUUAUUUCCCUGCCUGUGGCUGGCACUUUGUCAACAAGGCAGACAGGCCCCCCCUUUGAAAGUGGAGGAUGCUAAAGGCUGCUGGGUGGAGCCUGCUGUGGGCUGGUCUACAGCUGCCACCUUGACCUCUUAGCUGCAGCAGAAGUGGGGAGCCAGCCCUCACUAUGUGGAACAGACCACCCUGAGGGAGCUGAGGCUGAACAACCCCACUUUACCAGCUGCUGAGGAGAGGGAGCCAGCCCAUCCUGAUGGCACCCUCCCCUAUCCACCCCAACAGUGACACAGACACAUCCCAGGACCAGGGAAACCCAGGCUCCAGUCAGAAAAAAUAGCCUCUGCAGCCAGUCAUUACUGGGUAACCUCCAGGGUGGCAUGGGUGGGGGUCUCUUGUCUGGAGAGCUGGAGGAGUACCUGCUGGGGGAGGGCCUGCCAUCCUGGCCAUCACCACCACCACAAGUGACAUGCAGUGCCCUGGAACUGGGCAUAUCCAGUUCAAGCCAGGCCUUCCCUGUGACCUGGAACAAGCAAAGAAGAGGUCUGACUGCUCCCUCACCUGUGGAGUUCCCAAGCCCCAUCUGACUGGCUCUAGCUGCAUUGUCUCCCUGGCCCAUCUUGUGCUGACCUAGAGCCCCUCCUUAUCCCCUGAAAUUCCAUCUGGUCUUUUGCCUUCUAGCCAGGAUCAAGCUGAGAUGGGUUCACAAUGGCUGGGCUCCAGAUCCAGAGGGUCAGCUCCCUCCCUGCCUCUAUGUAAGAGCCAGGAGCACACAAAGGCUGCCCCCCUGGAGCUUCCCAAUGAUCCCUCCCUCUUUAGUGUGUGACUCCCAAAGUUUCCAGGCUCAGGCCUUCAGAGUGGCAAGUGGAGAAGUCUCCUGUGGCAGUGAUCCAGACACCCCUGCCAUCUCCCCCUGCCAUCUCCCCUUCACUCCCUGUGUCUCCAGAGGGAAAGGCCUCAGUAUGAAGGGGUCAUGACCACCAAAGGUCCCCAGGGCCUGCUGCUAAUUGGACUUCUCUGUGGAGGAUGCCUAUCUUAUCAGGCCCAAAAGGAAUGCCCUUGAGGAAAGGAAGAAGACUCUGGCUGACACCUGGAUGUGGCAGAGGCAGCAGCUAGUUAAGGCCUAGAAGUGAAACUUGGAGCAUUGUCCUGGUGUUUGUCAGUUACAAGAUUUUGUGGUUUUCUGACUGGGGUCCAACAAGCAGUGGUGGAAUGAGAUGGAUUCCAGGGCACUGUCACUUAGACAGGAAGGAAAGAGCAAAGGAUGGGCUGGGGGGAAGAGCUGUUGACAGUGACAUGACCCAGAGCUGGAUCCCCAGCACCUGAGAGGCCAGCCACCUUCCCAUCUCUUCCUUUCCUUCCUUUCUGUGUCUGAUUACAGCCUGACACAAGAAAAGUUACAUAAAUCUUGGUGGUCCUCAAAUACCUCCAUCAGCCCCUGGCCCAUGGAGUCAUGAGGCUCUCUGAUUUGGCCUAAGCUAAGUCAGGCUCUUAGGGGUGGGAUGCUUGCUCCUGAAAGAGGUGUAUUAUCCAGGCUCCAGAGGCAAAGCUGGCAUGGAUGGCAGCAGAACGCAUCCUCUCUGCUGCCCCAGAUUGGUCUUGACUGCCUCCUAGCAGGGCUGCAGCAUCUUUGUCAAGAACAUGCCCAUGGGAUCCUGGGUCAUCAUGUUGUUUAGAAUGUGGGGUCCUUGUUUCCUUUCCAAAGCUAAGAGUCUCUGGUUCUGCCCUUCCUGGUUGUGUGUGUCACGGAUUUUUGCAGUGGAUGGACAAGUGUUGCCUGCCUGCAUCCGGAGGUCCACACAGGAGCUUGGAGGCCCUGCUUCUGGACCCUGGAUCUCCUGGAUGAGGGAUUGAUACUGUAUAUAUGAAUACCUUUUCUGUACUGAUCUUGUUUGUGCAGACAGAUCUGUACAUGUGGUCGAAUGCAGGGAUUAUUCGUCCUUUUUUUCCCCAAACCCCAGAAUGUUCCCCAGUGGCUGGCCUGUAGUGACUGCUUUGUAAAUGCUCGUUUAUUUUAGAGGCAGCUGGCUGUCCCAGUGGCUAGAGUGCCAGACUUGGAUUCAGAGAGACCUGUCUCCAAAUCCUGCCUCAGUCAUGCAGUAGCCAUGUGACCCUGGACAAGCCUCUUAGGCUUUCUCACCUCUGCUUGCCCAUCUGUCAAAUGGGCAGAAGGAGAAGGCUAGCACCUCCCCCAUAGGGUCAUGUGACAUGCCAUAUGUAUAUUGCUUUGCAUACCUUAGACUGCUGUAUAAAUGCUAGCUACCAUGAUUAUCUUAACUGUUGCUGAACAGAAAUUCCCUCAGUUCUCUCCUGAGCCAGAGAAGCUCAGUAGACGCAGAUACCUCAAAAGGGUUUUCUUCCUUUCCCUCUGAAUCAUGUAGACUUGGUUCCAGAUGGGUCCCCAGAGGUGGGAGACUGAAGGGGCAGUGGCCCCCUCUCCUACCUGGCCUUCCCUGGCCAUGGCAUCAUGGCUCCUCUCCCCCCUGUUGUUAUUGUGUCUGACCUUUCCUUGUCUUCUACCCAGAAUCCCCUGGUGCAUUUGUCAAGGCCUGACAGUGAGUGGGACAGCUACCUGUUCUCAGCAACAGGGGCUGGGGUCAGGACAAGAUUCUGUGUCAGGCAGGGCGGCCGCCAGCUUGAUGCCUACAUGAGGAGUACUGUCCAUAUUCCAAUGAUGAAGUGUUCUCACACCAGGGUUUUUGGUCUUUCUCUUCUGCCCCGGGUGCCAGUAGGCCAGGAGGGUCUCUAACACUUUUUCCCAUUUCAUACUUAAGGUUUGUUUUUUUAUUGCCCUUACCUCCUCCUCUUAAUAUUUAAUUCAACAAGCCUUCAUUAAGUGCCUUUUCUGUGCCACUGCUAAUAACAGAAUAACAAGAGUCUUCCCCUUUUCCAAGGAGCUGGGACGUUAGUUUUGUUUUUGUUUUUUUCUCUCCAUUCACUCAUUACCUAUGUGGGAGAACCUGUAGGCUUGGUUCAUAGGUUUGAUCUAAACAGGUUCUUUUAGAACAUCUGGACUUUCAUUUUACAAAUGUGGACAUUGAGGCUCCAAGUGGGAAAUGCCUUUCUCAGGGUGAAGUGGGCCCGCACGUCUUCCACAGGUGAGAUUAGCACUACUACUUUCUAACACUGAAUACACUGAUUCACUGGACUACAAUGUGGCUUUCUACCCUGGGCUCUCAACCUCUGCCUCAGAUAAAUUAGCUCUUUCAUUACUAGAAAUUGAAGAGACUAAAGGUGGCCAUGAGUCACUAGAUAUCCUUCUUCAUCCCCUCUCUACUGGAAACAUCCCCUGCCAGCCCUACCGCCAAAUAGGGUUGGCAGCACUUCAUUCUCCAUUCCAGUCCAAUGUCUCCCCACCCCAGUGAAAUGGGUUGUAGAGAUAUAGCCAUUGGGCCUCUCUAUAGAGUGAUAAAAAUCCUCCUUUGGAGAGGAACCACCCAGGCUUCCUCAACCCUUUCACUCUUCCUGCCCUCCCUUAUUUUUAUUCCCUAAUGCCCGUCAUUGGGUCAAAAUGGCCCCUGGACCUCUUCUUUGAGGUUUUUUUUUUUGUUUUUAAGAAAUUGAGUAACUUCGAAUACACUUCCACCUUAAUGAUCGUAUGAUGCAACUUGCUUCAGACAUGUUACAGUGGGAUGUACAGAGCAUUGAUAGUCUCACCAGCUUUGUAGAACUUUAGGGGCCUGCUUCUAGCCAAAGGAGACUGAGGUGCUGUCAUUGGAAACCACUACUUUCCCACGACCUUGUAUUUUCUAUUUUUUGUGCUGACAUAUGGAAUCACUUACCACAAAACGUUUUUACUAUUUCUUUGUGUCCCCAGGAUGUAACACAUGGUUUGAAAAAGGGAAGACUUAAUAAUUGCUUGUUGAAAUUAAAGAUACCUCUACUUGUCUGCUGAGCCAAAUGGGUUCUGUAGACUCAGAUGGAAAUUAAUGUGCUAUUUUCCUUCCCCACUGUGAAUCAUGUAAAAUGGUUACAGCUUGGUCCCCAGUGUUAGGUGGGAAAAGGGCAAUUGUCCCAUGUCCCACUUGUCCUUCAUGCAGCCAUCAGUACGUGGUUGCUCUUGUACUUUCUUGACCUUAGGUAAAUGAGUAUACCCUUGUGCGUGUAUCUGGCUUGUAGGGUAGGCGUGUGCAUUCCCAAAGAUCUUGAGGUUACCUGAGGCCUGUGAAUGGGGCACCUGUCUUUUCCACAAAGUGACACUGUUACCUGGCCAGGAAAGCUUCGUUGGAGAAUAUGGUCCCUGGCAACAUGUCUCCAUGAAGCUUGUCCCUUGGACCAGGAGUAGUUGGACAGGGCCCAGCCAAGGUGAAGUAGAAAUGCCUGAUGGAUUGUCGUGUAAAACCACUUUCCCUUUGGCCUCCUCGUGGAUUGUAACUUGCUUUAUCCUGUUCCCUUGAGUGUGUGCAGUGAUUUUGUGUCUACACCUCUUUUCCGCCUUGUUUGGAAUAAAGGACUUGUUCCUCACCC